This 86-nucleotide transfer RNA is filed under the name Rhodosalinus halophilus. RNAcentral describes it as "Rhodosalinus sp. E84 tRNA-Leu". It matches the Rfam family "tRNA". Rfam says of the family: Transfer RNA (tRNA) molecules are approximately 80 nucleotides in length. Their secondary structure includes four short double-helical elements and three loops (D, anti-codon, and T loops). Further hydrogen bonds mediate the characteristic L-shaped molecular structure. tRNAs have two regions of fundamental functional importance: the anti-codon, which is responsible for specific mRNA codon recognition, and the 3' end, to which the tRNAs corresponding amino acid is attached (by aminoacyl-tRNA synthetases). tRNAs cope with the degeneracy of the genetic code in two manners: having more than one tRNA (with a specific anti-codon) for a particular amino acid; and 'wobble' base-pairing, i.e. permitting non-standard base-pairing at the 3rd anti-codon position. Lineage: Bacteria; Pseudomonadati; Pseudomonadota; Alphaproteobacteria; Rhodobacterales; Paracoccaceae. The record is from RNAcentral.
GCCCGCGUGGUGGAACGGUAGACACAGGGGACUUAAAAUCCCCAGGCCGAUAGGCCGUGCGAGUUCGAAUCUCGCCGCGGGCACCA